RNAcentral lists this unclassified non-coding RNA (622 nucleotides) under Apis dorsata (giant honeybee). RNAcentral describes it as "uncharacterized LOC116185332, transcript variant X1". Lineage: Eukaryota; Metazoa; Arthropoda; Insecta; Hymenoptera; Apidae. The record is from RNAcentral.
GUCCGCGAUGAAAUUGCAAUAUCGAGGGAUAUCGACAAUGGAAUUGGCCACUUUUCACCGGGACGAUGAAAUAAAUCGUGAAAUUAUCGCCUCUCGAUGAAACGCGUUUCGAUGGAUUCGCGUGUAUUUAUAUUACGCUAUCCAAGCAUGCCACAUGCUAAGGCAUAAGUUUUUCCUCCGUUCUCCGGCAUCGCUAUUAACUCAUCACAUUUUUUACAAGGAGGCGCACGGUCACGCAGCACGGCUCUCGACCCACUCGAUAUAACACACUCGAGGAACACAAAGAUCCAUGGGGCCCCGGCUACCCGGUAAUUCGUAUCGGCGACAACCGUUUAACCGGGCGGAGAUAGAUCACGGACCGAUAGACGGCUUUUCGUCCUCGCUUCGUUGUCGCGUGUUUCCCUCCUCCCCGUUUCGCCCCGUCCUUUCCAAUCGCACGCUCUGUCGUCUGGAUUUCCGAGUGCUCGUUUUAAUACCGCCCACGUAACGGUAUUAUACGAUUGUUGAUACGUGAGAGAUUCCAGGGAGGGGGGAGUUACGUUAAACGAUGAGAGGAUAACGAUAAGUUUUCGUAGAUUAUAGAAAAACGGUUGAAAAGUGGAAAAGUACGUGUAUACACGGA